CCCCACCCCCCAGUUGCCAUGACCACUCCAAUGGUUCCCAGCCCAUGUUCUGCCGGCUUCUUCCACUUCAAAACAAUCCCCACCCCACUGCUGCAGUCAACAUUCUGGAAUCCACCUCCUGCCUCCAGAACUCAGUUGACCGCAGCAUAAUCUAGCACCUUAGGUUUAUGGAAACAAACUCCUGGAUGUUCCAGAGGAAGAGGCAGUGAGGAACAGCACUAGAGUAGCACUGCAGUGAGCAGAGUCCAAGGCCACCUUGAAGCAGGCAGGUCCUUCCAGACAGCCACUGAGGCUCAUCAGGAUAGAGCCCUCCUUCCUUCCACCGCUGCCCCAGGCUCCCCAAAUGCACAGGGCUCUAACCCCUCCAAGCCUUUGCAAAGGCUGUUCCAUGGAGCUGCACAAUCUCCUGCCACUGCACCCAGACAGAGAGUGCCCCACUGUCCCAAUUUUAAUACUGAAAGCCCCAUGUCCCAGGACCCUCUCAGUCCCAGGCAACCCAGGAGGGUUGGUCCUUACAGGUAACUCCAGUGCAUCCUUCAGGGCUGCCUCUUCCAGGAAGCCUUCCCUGAGCCCUCAAGCCUGGAUCAGCUGUCCCUCAUCUGCACCACCUGGCUCUUGCCUGCAAUGUUACUUUGUGUUUUAGUGGCCUGCUUACCUCCCUGCCUCCCUGCCUGAAGGCAGUGACUCAAUUUUGUCAAGCUGGACUUGGUAUUACUUAACCAGAGGAAAUGGCAUGGCCCCUGCCAGCUGGCAUUCAGGCCAGUGGGUAUGUCAGACAAGUUCACCAAUGCCCAUUGGUUCAAACAAUGAAGUAUUUACUAGAUGCCAGGCUUAUGCCAGGGCUGAUACCAGACAGGAGACUGUCCCAGCCUGCCUACAAGGGGCUUUGCCUGCAAGCCAACACACCAAGCAGCAUGGGUUAUGUGCUGGGCAAAGGCUGAGGGAAAGGGUUGGCAAACAUUUUCUGUAAAGGGCCAGACAGUAAACAUUUUGUCCCAAAUGCUCAACUCUAGCUGUAGUGGGACACUGGCAGAGGCAUUCUGUAAAUUACCAAUGUAUUCCAAUAAAACUUUACUUAUG
Non-coding RNA from Saimiri boliviensis boliviensis (Bolivian squirrel monkey), 1080 nucleotides. The record is from RefSeq and is a predicted model, not a curated record. Lineage: Eukaryota; Metazoa; Chordata; Mammalia; Primates; Cebidae.